Molecule: ribosomal RNA, 425 nt
Filed under: uncultured bacterium
Lineage: Bacteria
Description: partial 16S ribosomal RNA
Rfam family: Bacterial small subunit ribosomal RNA
Source: RNAcentral
GUUAGGAAUAUUGGACAAUGGGCGAAAGCCUGAUCCAGCCAUGCCGCGUGAACGAUGAAGGCCUUCGGGUUGUAAAGUUCUUUAGCCGAUGAUUAUAAUGACUGUAGUCGGAAAAUAAGCCCCGGCUAACUUCGUGCCAGCACCCGCGGUAAUACGAAGGUGGCGAGCGUUAUUCGGAAUCACUGGGCGUAAAGCGUUCGUAGGCGGUUUUGUAAGUUAGGAGUGAAAGCCCAGGGCUCAACCUUGGAAUUGCUCUUAAAACUGCAAGGCUCGAAUCUCGGAGAGGAUAGCGGAAUUUCCAGUGUAGCAGUGAAAUGCGUAGAUAGUGGAAGGAACACCAGUGGCGUAAGCGGCUAUCUGGACGAGUAUUGACGCUGAGGCACGAAAGCGUGGGGAUCAAACAGGAUUAGAAACCCGGGUAGUCC